Molecule: ribosomal RNA, 411 nt
Filed under: uncultured bacterium
Lineage: Bacteria
Description: bacterial SSU rRNA
Rfam family: Bacterial small subunit ribosomal RNA
Source: RNAcentral
GGCGAACGGGUGAGUAACACGUGGGCAAUCUGCCCUGCACUCUGGGACAAGCCCUGGAAACAGGGGUCUAAUACCGGAUACGAGCCUCCUGGGCAUCUGGGAGGUUGGAAAGCUCCGGCGGUGCAGGAUGAGCCCGCGGCCUAUCAGCUUGUUGGUGAGGUAACGGCUCACCAAGGCGACGACGGGUAUGCCGGUCCUUGUAGAGGGCGACCGGCCAAUACUUGGGACUGAGCACAGGGUCCAACAUCUCAUAGGGGAGGCGAGGGGGAAUAUUGCACAAUGGGCGAAAGCCUGAUGCAGCGACGCCGCGUGAGGGAUGACGGCCUUCGGGUUGUAAACCUCUUUCAGCAGGGGAAGAAGCGAUGAGUUGACGGGUCCUGCAGAAGAAGCGCCGGGCUAACUACGUGCCAG